AUUUUCAAGCUUACCUAACUGAUAGAAACAUACAAUUUCAGAGAUUCAACAUGCUUGGAAAUAUCAGGUUCUCACUCUCCACUUCCUCUCCUCCUCCUACUGUAAUAACACAUAUGCAUCAAUUUUCUCUGCAGGAAUCUCUCAGACUUUGCAGAAACAUUCAAAAUUUUCACCCAUUUGAUGAUCAUCAUCUACUCAUUACUCCAUGCUUUAGAGAAAGAAGAUGAUCAUCCAAUGCACAACCAAAGCUAUUCCAAAUGUUGUAGUUCUUGAAUAAAUUCUUACAGCUCAAUUUGUCUCAGUCUCAAAAUGAAAUUCUCACUGCAAAUAAUAGUUGGAAAAAAUUUAGAUUCCUUCCCCUCUAACAAGUUUUUUU
This 376-nucleotide long non-coding RNA is filed under the name Manihot esculenta (cassava). RNAcentral describes it as "long non-coding RNA (MESC_LNC007655)". The record is from RNAcentral. Lineage: Eukaryota; Viridiplantae; Streptophyta; Magnoliopsida; Malpighiales; Euphorbiaceae.